UCAUGAGAUUACAAAUAUUAAGUUCUUUAUAUAUUAAUACAGUUCCCAUGGUUCAUGAACUUUACUUGGUUAAUUGUUUAAUUUGAUAGUUUGACUUAGCAAUCUCAUUAAUAGUUUAUAUAUGAAAUGUUCUUAUGACUCAUGCCGCGUAACACUUAACUAAGUUGAUAAACAGGGUCAUUCAACUGCUGCUGCAGCAAAUGUUCGAAAAUUGAACAAUUAACCAACUGUUGAAGAUGAUGUUGCUCCUCUAACUGAAGUUUCAAAAAUUGCUCCAACUCUGGCAUAUACUGGUUAACUGAUUGUUGCUGCUGCUGCUGCUGCUGAAGUUGCUGAAGCUGCUGAAUGGGCCAUAAAUCCCUCCCUUUUGAUCUUUGUUUCCUGGUCUUUUCUUUCUUCUGUCAUGAUUCUGUUCAUGCCUGAACAUUUGAAAGAUGGGAAAUAAGUGGACUAUGGUUGUGCUACUAUUUUGUUUAUAGACGAACUUACUACUCUUCUAGUUUAUCAAGUAAUUAAGUAGAUUGUCCUUACUAAUCGUGAUCGUGUUGCUGAUAGUUAUGAUGGCAUUUAUAUCAAGUUAUUGAUCUUAUACAGAUCCUUACAUA
Asparagus officinalis (garden asparagus) is the source of this 605-nucleotide long non-coding RNA. RefSeq lists it as uncharacterized. The transcript has 2 exons. The record is from RefSeq and is a predicted model, not a curated record. NCBI's taxonomy places the organism in Eukaryota, Viridiplantae, Streptophyta, Magnoliopsida, Asparagales, Asparagaceae.